This 252-nucleotide ribosomal RNA is filed under the name uncultured bacterium. Its description in RNAcentral is "partial 16S ribosomal RNA". It matches the Rfam family "Bacterial small subunit ribosomal RNA", at positions 524 to 776 of the family's 1533-position model. The record is from RNAcentral.
UACGUAGGUGGCAAGCGUUAUCCGGAUUUAUUGGGCGUAAAGGGAACGCAGGCGGUCUUUUAAGUCUGAUGUGAAAGCCUUCGGCUUAACCGGAGUAGUGCAUUGGAAACUGGGAGACUUGAGUGCAGAAGAGGAGAGUGGACUCCAUGUGUAGCGGUGAAAUGCGUAGAUAUAUGGAAGAACACCAGUGGCGAAAGCGGCUCUCUGGUCUGUAACUGACGCUGAGGUUCGGAAGCGUGGAUAGCAAACAGG